CAAGAACAGAACAGUAGAAAACCCAAGGCAGAGCUGAAGACAGUGACAGAAGGGAUUAUUGCUUCUGAAGAAGAAAAAAAUGAUUACAAAAGCCUUCAACUUGGAUUCUUCUUUCCUUGCCUACAGGGAAAGUCAUUGAUGUUUGAACCGCUAGUCAACAAACCUUUCCACAAUUCAGUCCAAAAAGGAAGGAUAAAGAUGAUAUUAAUUUGUUAUGUACUUCUCUAAAUCUUAUGCCUCACUUAUGGAAUAAAAUUAUAUAACUAGGUAAUUUCUAAACAUUUUAUCUCUGAGAUAUUAUGGAGCUCUACGUCAUUAAGAUACUUUCAAGACCCUUAAAAUAUAUAUUAUAUUGGUUACUGUCCUGAAGAUGUAAUCUGGAGUUGGUCAAGUCCAUGAGUCACCACUAAGAAGAAAGGCCCUCAGAAGAAAUGUCUAUCCCGGGCCAUGUACAUUGGAUUUUUAUUAGAGAAAAAUAGACUUUAUUAUGUUAAACACAGAGAUUUUGAAGUUGUUUGUUAUAGCAUUCAGCCUGUUGUGACUAAUACACUUUCCAGAUAACAUUUAUUCUGUGUCCUAGAGAUUGAAGUGAAGUCAGUUAUCAAAAAGUGGUAAAAAUGACUUCUAUGGAAACAGAAUAUCUAGUUUAAAAUAGAGGAAAUAGAAAGUGCAAAGGACAAGAGGAGGGAGAGAGAAAGGAAGGGAGGGACAGAGAGAGAGAGAGAGAGAGUGUUACCGUACCUUGUUUAGUAACUGUAAAGUGUAGUAUCUGUAGGUCCCAUAUUUACUCCCUUCUUACUCUCCCCUUGUUCACUGGGCUCUAACCCCAUUACCCUUAUCUCUGUUCCCUAAAGACACCAAUCUCUUCUCUGCUCUGGCUAUUUCCCCUGCUUGAAAUGUCUUCCCUGGAAUCUUUGGCUAAUUCCUAUUCACCCUGAGUGUCUCAAAUUAAAUGAUUCUUCCAAGAAGAAGCAUCUCCUGAAAAUCCAGUUUAAAUUAGACCCUUAUUGUUAACCUCUUUAGAGAACCUUGUUAUUUUCCUUUAAAAUAGUUAUCACCAUAU
Molecule: long non-coding RNA, 1063 nt
Organism: Lagenorhynchus albirostris (white-beaked dolphin)
Lineage: Eukaryota; Metazoa; Chordata; Mammalia; Artiodactyla; Delphinidae
Exons: 4
Source: RefSeq, a predicted model, not a curated record